AUAUCAUUUGGUAACUUACCAUUCAUGCCACCAACCAGGUGAAGAAGGAACUCAUCCUCGUGCCACCAACCAGGUGAUGAAAUGUGAUGAAAGGUGAUGAAAGAACUCACUUUCGUACCACUAACCAAGUGAUGAAAGCAACUAACCAUUCAUUCCACCUACCAGAAGACGAGUGGAUCACUUAUGGCCAACAAGAGUUAUAGUCACCAAUAAUAAAAAACCCUUAAGCUUGACAAAUCAACUAGGGGCUCACUUAUGGCUAACAAGAGUUAUAGUCACUAACAAAGUCUUAUUGCAAGCCAACAACAACUUCAGUGCAUGGCAUACGAAGAUCAAGCUAUUUAGCCCUUUUGCAUCUGCUUCAGACAUUUCCCCUCUGUAACAAUGCAAACACUACAACUUGUAGAAAGCUUCACA
This 417-nucleotide long non-coding RNA is filed under the name Malus domestica (apple). RNAcentral describes it as "long non-coding RNA (MDOM_LNC008768)". The record is from RNAcentral. Lineage: Eukaryota; Viridiplantae; Streptophyta; Magnoliopsida; Rosales; Rosaceae.